RNAcentral lists this long non-coding RNA (102 nucleotides) under Piliocolobus tephrosceles (Ugandan red Colobus). Its description in RNAcentral is "lncRNA (ENSPTEG00000023465.1)". The record is from RNAcentral. Lineage: Eukaryota; Metazoa; Chordata; Mammalia; Primates; Cercopithecidae.
GCGUGACUAUGGAGUCCGGCGUGGCAGCGGCACUCUGGCCAAAGGUCCCACAAGCUCUCCUGGGAGAGUGAGCAGCUGAUGAAAUCCCAGAGGCCCUGAAAC